Molecule: small RNA, 82 nt
Filed under: Ornithinimicrobium sp. CNJ-824
Lineage: Bacteria; Bacillati; Actinomycetota; Actinomycetes; Micrococcales; Ornithinimicrobiaceae
Description: Actinobacteria sRNA Ms_AS-4
Rfam family: Actinobacteria sRNA Ms_AS-4
Source: Rfam by way of RNAcentral
UUUGGCGUCGGCGUAGCGGUGGGGGUCGUCGCCGAACUCGCCGAGGAUCCGGGCGCCGAGGAUCACACCCAGGCCGGGCAGG